This 88-nucleotide transfer RNA is filed under the name Propionibacteriaceae bacterium. RNAcentral's name for it is "tRNA-Ser". It matches the Rfam family "tRNA". Rfam says of the family: Transfer RNA (tRNA) molecules are approximately 80 nucleotides in length. Their secondary structure includes four short double-helical elements and three loops (D, anti-codon, and T loops). The record is from RNAcentral. Lineage: Bacteria; Bacillati; Actinomycetota; Actinomycetes; Propionibacteriales; Propionibacteriaceae.
GGUGGCGUGUCCGAGCGGCCGAAGGAGCUCGCCUCGAAAGCGAGUGUGGAGCAAUCCACCGCGGGUUCAAAUCCCGCCGCCACCGCCA